This is a long non-coding RNA of Sceloporus undulatus (fence lizard), 192 nucleotides long. RefSeq lists it as uncharacterized. The record is from RefSeq and is a predicted model, not a curated record. Lineage: Eukaryota; Metazoa; Chordata; Lepidosauria; Squamata; Phrynosomatidae. The transcript is spliced from 2 exons.
UAAUACAGAGGUUCUCUGAUGAGUUUUAAAAAAUGAUUUUCAGAAUGAAUGUGAACAACUAAAUUAUGCGAAACAGUUAAAAGAAAGACUGGAAGCUUUUACCAGGGAUUUCCUUCCUCAUAUGAAAGAAGAGGAGGAGGUUUUCCAGCCAAUGUUGAUGGAAUAUUUUACUUAUGAAGAAUUAAAGGACAU